Scomber japonicus (chub mackerel) is the source of this 390-nucleotide non-coding RNA. NCBI's taxonomy places the organism in Eukaryota, Metazoa, Chordata, Actinopteri, Scombriformes, Scombridae. The record is from the annotation of a RefSeq genome assembly.
AUGUUCCAAACAAGAUUUGUAUCACUGUGGUGGACUUUUGGUGGAGGAACCAGACUGGAUGUUGGAAGUGAUGUCCGUCCCACCCUGACGGUGCUGUCCCCCUCCAGAGAGGAGCUGGACCAGGGCAAGGCCACGCUCAUGUGUCUGGCCAACAAGGGCUUCCCCUCAGACUGGAUUCUGGCCUGGAAGGUGGACGGCAGCAGCAGCAGCUUGGAGCAGAGCAGGAGCCCCGCGGUGCUGCAGAAGGACGGCCUCUACAGCUGGAGCAGCACCCUGAGGCUCACUGCAGACCAGUGGAGGAAGGUGGGCUCUGUGACCUGUGAGGCCACCCAGGGCUCCCAGACUCCACUCUCAGAGACACUGAGGAGAGACCAGUGUUCCCAGUCCUGA